This 335-nucleotide ribosomal RNA is filed under the name uncultured bacterium. RNAcentral's name for it is "bacterial SSU rRNA". It matches the Rfam family "Bacterial small subunit ribosomal RNA", at positions 28 to 334 of the family's 1533-position model. The record is from RNAcentral.
GACGAACGCUGGCGGCGUGCCUAACACAUGCAAGUCGAACGGAGUAAAACGCUGAAUUGAUGGAAGCUUGCUUCUGGAUUUUCUUGUUUUACUUAGUGGCGAACGGGUGAGUAACGCGUGAGGAACCUGCCUUUCAGUGGGGGACAACAGUUGGAAACGACUGCUAAUACCGCAUAAUGCAGCUAGACCGCAUGGUCUUACUGCCAAAGCUUUAUGUGCUGAAAGAUGGCCUCGCGUCUGAUUAGCUAGUUGGUGGGGUAACGGCCUACCAAGGCGACGAUCAGUAGCCGGACUGAGAGGUUGAACGGCCACAUUGGGACUGAGAUACGGCCCAG